This 494-nucleotide ribosomal RNA is filed under the name uncultured bacterium. RNAcentral's name for it is "partial 16S ribosomal RNA". It matches the Rfam family "Bacterial small subunit ribosomal RNA", at positions 28 to 507 of the family's 1533-position model. The record is from RNAcentral.
GACGAACGCUGGCGGCGUGCUUAACACAUGCAAGUCGAACGGAAAGGCCUGCUUUCCCUUGUGGAUUGCGGGUGCUCGAGUGGCGAACGGGUGAGUAACACGUGAGUGAUCUGCCCCCAACUUGGGUAUAAGCCUGGGAAACUGGGUCUAAUUCUCGAUAGGACUGCAGGGUGGUGCCUGUGGUGGAAAACGAUUUUCUAGUGGUUGGGGAUGAGCUCGCGGCCUAUCAGCUUGUUGGUGGGGUAAUGGCCUACCAAGGCGGCGACGGGUAGCCGGCCUGAGAGGGUGGACGGCCACAUUGGGACUGAGAUACGGCCCAGACUCCUACGGGAGGCAGCAGUGGGGAAUAUUGCACAAUGGGCGGAAGCCUGAUGCAGCGACGCCGCGUGGGGGAUGACGGCCUUCGGGUUGUAAACUCCUUUCGACCGCGAGGAAGCCACCUGGUUGGAAGGGUGGUGACGGUAGUGGUAGAAGAAGCACCGGCUAACUACGUG